GGAAGCGCCCGGGGCCUGGUGGCUUCCGCGGUCUUCAAAACCGUUGCGCCGUGCGGCUGCCGUACGGUGGGUGGGUUCGAUUCCCAUGCGCUUCCGCCA
Molecule: transfer RNA, 99 nt
Filed under: Acidobacteriota bacterium
Lineage: Bacteria; Pseudomonadati; Acidobacteriota
Also listed under: 2 other names
Description: tRNA-Sec
Rfam family: Selenocysteine transfer RNA
Source: RNAcentral